This 492-nucleotide ribosomal RNA is filed under the name uncultured bacterium. Its description in RNAcentral is "partial 16S ribosomal RNA". It matches the Rfam family "Bacterial small subunit ribosomal RNA", at positions 29 to 507 of the family's 1533-position model. The record is from RNAcentral.
AGUGAACGCUGGCGGUAGGCCUAACACAUGCAAGUCGAACGGCAGCACAGUAAGAGCUUGCUCUUACGGGUGGCGAGUGGCGGACGGGUGAGGAAUACAUCGGAAUUUACUUUUUCGUGGGGGAUAACGUAGGGAAACUUACGCUAAUACCGCAUACGACCUACGGGUGAAAGCAGGGGAUCUUCGGACCUUGCGCGAUUGAAUGAGCCGAUGUCGGAUUAGCUAGUUGGCGGGGUAAAGGCCCACCAGGGCGACGAUCCGUAGCUGGUCUGAGAGGAUGAUCAGCCACACUGGAACUGAGACACGGUCCAGACUCCUACGGGAGGCAGCAGUGGGGAAUAUUGGACAAUGGGCGCAAGCCUGAUCCAGCCAUACCGCGUGGGUGAAGAAGGCCUUCGGGUUGUAAAGCCCUUUUGUUGGGAAAGAAAAGCAGCAGGUUAAUACCCCGCUGUUCUGACGGUACCCAAAGAAUAAGCACCGGCUAACUUCGUG